This 468-nucleotide ribosomal RNA is filed under the name uncultured bacterium. Its description in RNAcentral is "partial 16S ribosomal RNA". It matches the Rfam family "Bacterial small subunit ribosomal RNA", at positions 28 to 507 of the family's 1533-position model. The record is from RNAcentral.
GACGAACGCUGGCGGCGUGCUUAACACAUGCAAGUCGAACGGAAAGGCCCUGCUUUUGUGGGGUGCUCGAGUGGCGAACGGGUGAGUAACACGUGAGUAACCUGCCCUUGACUUUGGGAUAACUUCAGGAAACUGGGGCUAAUACCGGAUAGGAGCUCCUGCUGCAUGGUGGGGGUUGGAAAGUUUCGGCGGUUGGGGAUGGACUCGCGGCUUAUCAGCUUGUUGGUGGGGUAGUGGCUUACCAAGGCUUUGACGGGUAGCCGGCCUGAGAGGGUGACCGGCCACAUUGGGACUGAGAUACGGCCCAGACUCCUACGGGAAGCAGCAGUGGGGAAUAUUGCACAAUGGGCGGAAGCCUGAUGCAGAAACGCCGCGUGCGGGAUGACGGCCUUCGGGUUGUAAACCGCUUUCGCCUGUGACGAAGCGUGAGUGACGGUAAUGGGUAAAGAAGCACCGGCUAACUACGUG